Molecule: RNA transcript, 2372 nt
Organism: Triticum aestivum (bread wheat)
Lineage: Eukaryota; Viridiplantae; Streptophyta; Magnoliopsida; Poales; Poaceae
Exons: 2
Source: RefSeq, a predicted model, not a curated record
CAGCGCACUCUCUCUCUCUACCCCCAAAACCCCAUUGCAUCCCGGCUUUCAAAUCCGCCACCUUUUCCCCAUCCCGGCUUUCAAAUACGCCCGAGAAGAGGAGAGAGAGGAGGAGGAACCCAAGGAGCAGGCCGGCCUCAAAAGAACCACUCACCUUCCCGCAGCCACUCUCUCUCUCUCUCUCAUCACGCACAUCACACACGCUCUCACCGGUAGCUAGCCGGCGGUUGGAGCGGAGCCCCUGCUGCUGCGGCCGCUUAAAGGAGGAGGAGGAGGGCGGGAGCAAUGUCGGAGCAGCCGUUGCCGCAGCCGCGGAGCAGCAUGAGGGAGGCGCUGCAGAAGGAGGACAAGGAGAAGGCGUCGGCGGCGGCGCCCAAGGAGAAGGCGGCCGUGGCCCCGCCGCACGUCGCCGCGCCCCCCAUGGCCAAGAACGGCGGCGGGAACGGGGGCAAGGGCGGCCACGGGGCCCAGCCGCCGGCGGCGGAGGAGACGACGCGGGAGAUCCAGGUGGUGCGCGAGGCGUACCGGCAGCCGGCGGCCCCGGCGUACGUGAUGCCCGAGGAGCCCCCCGCCAUGGUGGAGCUGGUGGGGUGGUACCUCUACGGCUUCUGCUCCUUCUUCAUCACCCACCUGCUGCUGCCGGUGCUGUUCCCGGCCAUCGUCACCCAGGUCGCCUUCCCCUCCUCCGACUUCACCCCCGAGGCCAAGUACACCGUCAAGGGCGCCUCCUGCUCCGUCCACGAGAUGUCCAUGUACCAGAGGCUGACCAAGUACACCAUUGCCAUCUCUAGCUCCCACAUGUCGCCCCUGGGCUGGAGCGCCCUCUCGUGGGCGAUCGGCAUCCUCCUCGUGGCGCCGCUCCUCACCCAGGUCGCGCACCACCUCGACCGGGGCCAGUACCAGUCGCUCAUCCUCAUCGCCGCGACGUCGUUCGGCUCCUUCUUCUGCCUGCUCACCGGCUUCUUCAAGACGGUCUGGGUGUUCCUGUUCUACAUCCUCUUCAUCGCCGCGUCCAUCAUCAUCGCCGAGGCGGUGCACACCCGCAACCUCGGGCUGAUGAUCCGCGGCCUUGCCGCCCAUGACUCGGGCAAGCACCUUGUCCUGCGCCGCCGCGCUGCUGCCAGCCAGCUCAGCCUCUACUGCACCGCCAUCGGCGGCAUCGGGGCGGCGCUCAUGGCUGCGUUCAUGUACCACAUGCUGAGGCGCACUGACCAGCUCACCGGCCUCUGGGUCGUCUCCAUCUUCAGUGGCCUCAUCUGGUUCAUCGGCAUCUGCCAUGGCCUCUUCACGAACAGGCCCAGCAGCUCGUCGCCCACCACCGCAUUCGAGCCAAACUUCUUCAGCAAGCUCAAGUACGCAUGACCAUUGGCCGCUACCCACAGGCCAUGGCUGUGUUCCUGUCAUCCUUCGCCACAAUGUGCAUCUUCACCAGUGGCACGCUCUACGCCAUUGGCGGCGUCUGCAUCAAGCCGGUCCUGGUGCUCGCGCUGUGGAUCCUCUACUUCCUGUUCCCGCUCAUCUCGCUGCCGCUGCUCCACCCGAUCCAGAUCAUCAUCCGCGCCGACGCCGUCCGCAUGCAGCUGCUGGGGUUCAUCAUCGCCCUCUUCGUCUCCGGCGCCGGGUUCUACUUCAAGAGCCACAGGUGGAGGGCCGCCCACAUCAUCAUCAUCGCCCUCGUCCAGAGCACCGCCAACGGCAUCCUCUACUCCUUCGGCCGCAUCCUGCUGCUCGACGCCUCGCCGCCGGGCAAGGAGGGCGCGUUCGCCAUCUGGUACGCGUACGUCCGCUGCAUGGGCGCCAUGAUCGGCUUCGCCGUCGCGUCUGCCGGCCCUGGGCGCGCGGGAGGAUCCUUCGCUGCUGCGUUCCUGGGCAGCUUCCUCGGCAUCAUCGUGCUCAUCUUCGGCAAUGUCAGCAACGUCGGGGCGCUCAAGGCCGCCGGGCAUCUCAAGGGCAUGGAGGACGAGAAGAGGAUCGGCGAGAAGGGCGAGGGCAUGAGCGCCGUCGCCGACUCCGGCGAGUCCAGGGGGAGGGUAUGAUUGAUACAUUUCAUGGUUGGUUGGUUGGAAAGAUUUCUUGCUACCAUUGUUGUGGUGCGUUGUGCUUGUGAGAGGGUAUGAUUUGUUCUUCUAUUUUUCUUGUUUUUUCUUUCUUGUUCAUGUCUCAGUGACACUGUUAAUCCGGUGCUCUGCCCCUUUGAUGCAUGAUGAUUAUGAUGAUGUUGACAUAGUGGUAGAGGGAGUGUGCUAGCAGCUCUGUUAAUGUGUUGUUAAAUUCUUUUGCUUGGAAGAAAGACAAUUGUAACUGAUGGUGAUAUGGUUCCUUGUUCAUCGCCCUGUCCUCCCUGAAAAAUCUCUAGCAGUCAUGCUUCGUGA